AGAGUUUGAUCAUGGCUCAGAACGAACGCUGGCGGCGUGCUUAACACAUGCAAGUCGAGUGCGCGGUUGUAGCAAUACAACUGGCGCACGGCGCACGGGUGCGUAACACGUGGGUAACCUGCCCUUUGGUGGGGAAUAACUCCGCGAAAGCGGAGCUAAUUCCGCAUAAGAUCCGCAAGGAUGAAAGCCGAAAGGCGCCGAUGGAGGGGCCCGCGCCCGAUUAGCUAGUUGGUAGGGUAAUGGCCUACCAAGGCUUUGAUCGGUAGCUGGUCUGAGAGGAUGAUCAGCCACACUGGAACUGAGACACGGUCCAGACUCCUACGGGAGGCAGCAGUGGGGAAUCUUGCACAAUGGGCGAAAGCCUGAUGCAGCGACGCCGCGUGGGGGAUGAAGCAUUUCGGUGUGUAAACCCCUUUCGAUCCGGACGAAUGCCCGCAAGGGAGUGACGGUACGGAUAUAAGAAGCCCCGGCUAACUACGUGCCAGCAGCCGCGGUAAGACGUAGGGGGCCAGCGUUGUUCGGAAUUACUGGGUGUAAAGGGUUCAUAGGCGGUGCGGCAAGUUGGGAGUGAAAUCUCUGGGCUUAACCCAGAGGCUGCUUCCAAAACUGCUGUGCUUGAGUGUGGGAGAGGCGCGUGGAAUUGCAGGUGUAGCGGUGAAAUGCGUAGAUAUCUGCAGGAACACCCGUGGCGAAAGCGGCGCGCUGGACCACUACUGACGCUGAGGAACGAAAGCUAGGGGAGCAAACAGGAUUAGAUACCCUAGUAGUCC
RNAcentral lists this ribosomal RNA (770 nucleotides) under uncultured bacterium. RNAcentral describes it as "bacterial SSU rRNA". It matches the Rfam family "Bacterial small subunit ribosomal RNA", at positions 8 to 796 of the family's 1533-position model. The record is from RNAcentral.